UAUCUUCUUAAAGAGCGUUAAAGCUUUUACCCCUGUAAGUUUUGUAGAAAAUUUUAGAUGAAGGUCUUAGAUUGUAGAGGAUAGUAUUAGGAAUUUUCAUUUGUUUGGAAGUCACAAUGCUAGGAUUAGUAGGGAUAAUUGUAUAUUUUUUGGGUAUUAAGCAAUUCUAACUUUGGAUGAAGGAAAGUACUUGGUUCAGGAAAUGGCUUUUAAAAGUUGUCUUCCAACUCAGGGAAUAUAAGUAUUUAUGAAAUUAGGGGAAAGGAACUCGGCAAACUUUAACUUNNNNNNNNNNNNNNNNNNNNCGCUCUUCGCAAAGAGUUCUUAUGUAUGAAGAGUCCUGCCUGCCCGGUGACUUCAAGUUAAACGGCCGCGGUAUCUUGACCGUGCAAAGGUAGCAUAAUCAUUUGCCUCUUAAAUAGAGGCUGGUAUGAAUGGCAAGACGGGGGUUCAGCUGUCUCUCUUCUAAUAAAGUUGAAUUUAAUUUCUUUGUGAAGAAGCAAAGAUAGAAUCGCAGGACGAGAAGACCCUGUCGAGCUUAAAUAAUUAAGACGAGUGUUGAUAGUAUUCUUUUACUAAUUUGUUUCCUUGAAAAGGGAAAGAGAUUUUUAUUUAAGGUGCGAGUAUGCUGUGUUGGUUUUGUUUUGAUUGGGGCAAUCGCGGAGAAAAUACAACCUCCGUUAUAAAUGUUAAUGUUGUAAAGUAAUCCCUUUGUAGUAUAAAAAUAUGUAUUUUUGAUCCACGGAAAGUGAACAAAGGAAUAAGUUACCGCAGGGAUAACAGCGUAAUUUUUUUGGAGAGUUCAUAUUGAUAAAAAAGUUUGCGACCUCGAUGUUGGAUCGGGAUUUCCAGGAGAUGCAGCAGUUUCCAAGGGUUGGUCUGUUCGACCAUUAAAAUCCU
This 900-nucleotide ribosomal RNA is filed under the name Sphaeriodiscus mirabilis. Its description in RNAcentral is "partial 16S ribosomal RNA". It matches the Rfam family "Bacterial large subunit ribosomal RNA", at positions 1205 to 2597 of the family's 2925-position model. The record is from RNAcentral. Lineage: Eukaryota; Metazoa; Echinodermata; Asteroidea; Valvatida; Goniasteridae.